UUCCUCUGCAGUUUUCCUGACUGCUACAUUUCAUGAGAAGGGAUUAUUCUUGAGGGUUCUGGAGCUGCAGCCCAGGGGAGGAGCCAGUGCUGCCACUGACACCUCAGGGUCGUGGAGGUGAAAAUCCCAGAGGAACAGGUGCUCCUGUUGCAGUUUGAGGUUCCUGGAGCUGGAGACGCAGGGAGAAGAUGGCGCUGCUGUUCUAAUUUAAGGAUCAUGAAGCCGGAGACGCAGAAAGGAGCUGGUGCUGCCACUGCUCACAUCUGAGGGUUUUAGAGCUGGAGCCUGGGGGUGGAGCUGCUGCUGCCUUUGAAGUCUGAGAGUCAUUGACCUGGAGGUCCAGGAAGGAGCUGGUGCUGCUGUUCUAGUUUGAGAGUCAUGGAGCUGCAGACCCAGGGAGGAGCAAUGUUGUCAUAGUUCAAGGGUCAGGAAGCUGAUGACACAGGAAGGAGAGAUCUUGAUCUGCUUUGAGGGUCGUGGAGCUGCAGACCCAGGGAGGAGCAAUGUUGUCAUAGUUCGAGGGUCCGGAAGCUGGCAACACAGGGAGGAGAGAUCUUGUUUUAGUUUGAGGGUUGUGGAGCUGCAGACCCAGGGAGGAGCAAUGUUUUUGUAGUUCCAGGGUCCGGAAGCUGGUGACCCAGGGAGGAGAGAUCUUGUUCUAGUCUGAGGGUCGUGGAGCUGCAGAUCCAGGGAGGAGCAAUGUUGUUAUUUGGGGACUGGAAGCUGCAGACCUAGGGAGGAGAGGUCUUGUUCUAGUUUGAGGGUCAUGGAGCUGCGGACCCAGGGAGGAGCAAUGUUGUUUUAGUUCGAAGGUUCGGAAGCUGGUGACUCAGGGAGGAGAGGUCUUGUUCUAGUCUGAGGGUCGUGGAGCUGCAGAUCCAGGGAGGAGCAAUGUUGUUAUUUGAGGGACUGGAAGCUGCAGACCUAGGGAGGAGAGAUCUUGUUUUAGUUUGAGGGUCGUGGAGCUGCGGACCCAGGGAGGAGCAAUGUUUUCAUAGUUCAAGGGUCCGGAAGCUGGCGACACAGUGAGGAGAGGUCUUGUUCUAGUUUAAGGGUCGUGGAGCUGCAGACCCAGGGAGGAGCAAUGUUGUUAUUUGAGGGACUGGAAGCUGAUGACACAGGGAGGAGAGAUCUUGUUUUAGUUUGAGGGUCAUGGAGCUGGAGACCCAGGGAGGAGCAAUGUUUUCGUAGUUCGAGGGUCCGGAAGCUGGUGACCCAGGGAGGAGAGAUCUUGUUGUAGUCUGAGAGUCAUGGAGCUGCAGAUCCAGGGAGGAGCAAUGUUGUUAUUUGAGGGACUGGAAGCUGCAGACCUAGAGAGGAGAGGUCUUGUUUUAGUUUGAGGGUCGUGGAGCUGCAGACCCAGGGAGGAGCAAUGUUGUUAUUUGAGGGACUGGAAGCUGAUGACACAGGGAGGAGAGAUCUUGUUUUAGUUUGAGGGUCGUGGAGCUGCAGACCCAGGGAGGAGAGAUCUUGUUUUAGUUUGAGGGUCGUGGAGCUGCAGACCUAGGGAGGAGCCAUGUUUCCAUAGUUCAAGGGUCAGGAAGCUGGCAACACAGGGAGGAGAGGUCUGGUUCUAGUUUGAGGGUUGUGGAGCUGCAGACCCAGGGAGGAGCAAGGUUGUUUUAGUUUGAGGCUCCGGAAACUGGCGACGCAGGGUGGAGAGGUCUUGUUCUAGUUUGAGGGUGCGCCCAGGGAGGAGCAAUGCUGUCAUAGUUCGAGGGUCAGGAAGCUGAUGACACAGGGAGGAGAGAUCUUGAUCUGGAUUGAGGGUCGUGGAGCUGCAGACCCAGGCAGGAGCAAUGUUUUUGUAGUUCGAGGGUCCAGAAGCUGGCGACACAGUGAGGAGAGGUCUUUUUCUAGUUUGAGGGUCGUGGAGCUGCAGACCCAGGGAGGAGCAAUGUUGUUUUAGUUCGAAGGUUCGGAAGCUGGUGACCCAGGGAGGACAGAUCGUGUUCUAGUCUGAGGGUCGUGGAGCUGCAGAUCCAGGGAGGAGCAAUGUUGUUAUUUGAGGGACUGGAAGCUGCAGACCUAGGGAGGAGAGGUCUUGUUCUAGUUUGAGGGUCAUGGAGCUCCCGACCCAGGGAGGAGCAAUAUUUUCAUAGUUCAAGGGUCCAGAAGCUGGCGACGCAGGGAGGAGAGGUCUCAUUCUAGUUUGAGGAUCAUGGAGCUGCUGACCCAGGGAGGAGUAAUGUUUCUGUUGUUCGAGGGUCAGGAAGCUGGCGACCCAGGGAGGAGAGAUCUUGAUCUGGUUUGAGGGUUGUGGAGCUGCUGACCCAGGGAGGAGCAAUGUUGUCAUAGUUCAAGGGUCAGGAAGCUGACGACACAGGGAGGAGAGAUCUUGAUCUGGUUUGAGGGUCGUGGAGCUGCGGACCCAGGGAGGAGCAAUGUUUUCAUAGUUCGAGGGUCCGGAAGCUCGCGACCCAGGGAGUAGAGGUCUUGUUCUAGUCUGAGGGUGGUGGAGCUGGAGAUCCUUGGACGAGCUGGUGCUGCAGUUUAAAUCUGUGGAUCCUGGAGCUGGAGCCCUAGGCAUUAGCUGGUAUUGCUGUUGUUCAUAUAUGAGGGUUAUGGGGCUUGAGGUACAGGGAGGAGACGCUGCUGCUGUUCAAAUCUGCGGGUCGUGUAGCUGGAGAGCGGGGAGGAGGUAGUCCUGGUGUCUAGUGUGAGGGUGGUGGAGCUGUAGACCUGGGGAGGAGCUGGUGCUGCUGUGUAGUUUGAGGGUCAUGGAACUGGAGACCUAGGGAGGAACCAGUACUACCGCCAUUGAAGUCAGAGGGUUGUGGAUCUCGAGUUUUCGGGGACAGCCCGUGCUGCUAUGUAACUGUGGGGAGGAUCCAGUGUGUCAGGUGAUGUCUGAGGGUUUGGGAGCUGGAGACCCAGGGAGGAGCCGGUGCUCCUCUUCUAGUUUGAGGGUAGUGGAGCUGGAAAUCCUGGGAAGAGCCAGUGCUGCCAUUUAAAUCUGUGGGUCCUGGAGCUGGAACCCUUGUGGGAAGCCGGUUCUGCCAUUCAUGUCUUAGGGUCGUGGAGCUGGAAACCCAGGGAGGCAGCGGUGCUGCUGUUCUAGUUUAAGGAUCAUGAAGCUGGAGAUCUGGACAGGAGCUGGUGCUACCAUUAUUCAAAUCUGAGGGUUGUGGAGCUGGAGCCUUGGUGAGUUGCCGGUGCUGCCUCAUCUGAGAGUUGCUGAGCUGGAGAUCCAGACAGGAACCUGUGUUGCUGUUGUAGUUUGACGGUCAUGGAGCUGGAGACUCAGGGAGGAGGGGUGCGGUUCUAGUCUGAGGGUUGUGGAGCUGGAGACCCAGGGAGGAGCUGGUGCUGCUGCUGUUUAAGGCUGAAGGUUGUGGAGCUGGAGACCAGGGAGGGAGCUGCUGUUGCUGUUGAUCAAGUCAGAGGGUCAUGGGGCUUGAGGUACAGGGAGGAGCUGGUGCUGCUGUUGCAGGUUUAGGGUCAUGGAGCUGGAAAUCUAGGGAGGAGCUGCUGCUGCUGUUCAAGUUUGAGGGUCGUGUAGCUGGAGAGCGGGAAGGAGGUAGUCUUGAUGUCUAGUGUGAGGGUGGUGGAGCUAUAGACCUGGGGAGGAGCCGGUGCUGCUGUGUAGUUUGAGGGUCAUGGAACUGGAGACCUUGGGAGGAGCCAGUGCUACUGAGGGUCGUGUAUCUGGAGCUUUGGGGAACAGCCCGUGCUGCUGUUUAACUGUGGGGAGGAUCUGCUGUGUUAGUUGAAGUUUGAGGGUUUGGGAGCUGGAGACCCAGGGAGGAGCUGAUGAUGCCAUUCUAUUUUGAGGGUCAUGGAUCUGGAGACCUGGGGAGAGGCCGGUACUGCUGUUGUAGUUUGAGGUUCGUGGAACUGGAGACAGGGGGAGGAGCCGGUGCUGCUGUUCAUGUCUGAGGGUUGUAGAGCUGGAGACCCAGGGAGAAGCCCGUACUACGGCUUUUUAAGUCUGAGGGUCGUGGAGCCUGAGACCUGGGGAGGGGCCAGUGCUGCUGUUCAAAUGGCUCAUUCCGGGGUCUCCAGCUCCAUGACCUUCAAACUAGGACAGCAGCAGCAGCUCCUCCCGGGGUCUUCCAGCUCCAUGACCCUCACACUAGAACAGCAGCAGCAGCUCCUCCCGGGGUCUUCCAGCUCCAUGACCCUCACACUAGAACAGCAGCACCGGCUCCACCCUGGGUCUCCAGAUCCAUGACCCUCAAACUAGAACAGCAGCACUGACUCCUCCCCGGGUCUCCAGCUCUACAACCCUCAGACUUGAGGAGUUGGAGACUCGGGGAGGAGCCAGGGCUGCUUUUCUACUUUGAGGGUUGUGGAGCUGGAGACCCAAGAUGCAGCAGCUGCUGCUAUUCUAGUUCGAGGGUCUUGGAGCCAGAACCUUUUUGAGGAGCUGGUGCUGCCUUUCAAGUCUGAGAGUCAUUGAGCUGGAGUUCCAGGGAGGAACCGGUGUUGCUAUUCUAGUCUGAGUGUAGUGAAGCUGGAGACCCAAGGAGGAGCCGGUGCUGCUGUGUAGUUUGAGGGUCGUGGAACUGGAGACUUAGGGAGGAGUUGGUGCUAUCGCCCUUUAAGUCAGAGGGUCGUGGAUCUGGAGCUUUGGGGAACAGCCCGUGCUGCUGUUUAACUGUGGGGAGGGUCCGGUGUGUCAAUUGAAGUUUGAGAGUUUGGGAGCUGGAGACCCAGGGAGGAGCCGGUGAUGCCAUUCUAUUUUGAGGGUCGUGGAUCUGGAGACCUGGGGAGAGGCCGGUACUGCUGUUGUAGUUUGAGGUUCGUGGAACUGGAGACAGGGGGAGGGGGCGGUGCUGCUGCUGUUCAUGUCUGAGGGUUGUAGAGAUGGAGACCCAGGGAGAAGCCCGUACUACGGCUUUUUAAGUCUGAGGGUCGUGGAGCCUGAGACCCGGGGAGGGGCCAGUGCUGCUGUUCAAAUGGUUCCUCCCCGGGUCUCCAGCUCCAUGACCUUCAAACUAGGACAGCAGCACCAGCUUGGAGCCAGAAACUUUCUGAGGAGCCAGUGCUGCCUUUCAAGUCUGAGACUUGUAAGAGCUGGAGACCCAGGGAGGAACAAGUGUUGCUGUUCUAGUCUGAGGGUAGAGAAGCUGGAGACCCAAGGAGGAGCCUGUGCUGCUGUUCAUGUCUGAGGAUUGUGGAGCUGGAGAACCAGAGGGGAGCUGGUGCUGCUGAUCGUGUUUGAAGGCUGUGGAGCUGGAGAUCCCAGGAAGAGCCGGUGCUGCCGUUUAUAUCUGUGGGUCUUGGAGCUGGAGCCCUAGCGGGGAACCCGGUCCUGCCAUUCAUGUCUUAGGGUCGUGGAGCUGGAAACCUAGGGAGGUGGUGGUGCUGCUGUUCUAGUUUAAGGAUCAUGAAGCUGGAGACCUGGACAGGAGCUGGUGCUACCGCUGUUCAAAUCUGAGGGUCAUGGAGCUGGAGCCUUGGGGAGGUGCCGGUGCUGCCUCUCAAGUCUGAGGGUUGUUGAGCUGGAGAUUCAGGGAGGAGCCGGUGUUGCUGUUGUUGUUGGAGGAUUGUGGAGCUGGAGACCUAGGGAGGAGCUGGUGCUACCACCGUGUAAGUUGAGGGUUGUGGAGCUGGUGGCGCUGGGGAACAGCCAGUGCUAUAGUUGAAUUUUGAGGGAGCUGGAGACCCAGGGAGUAGCUGGUGCUGCUGUUCUAGUUUGAAGGUUGUGGAGCUGGAGGCUUGGUGGGAGCUGGAGCUGCCUCCCAAGUCUGAGAGUCAUUGAGCUGGAGAUCCCCAGGGGAGCUGGUGCUGCUGUUGUAGUUUGAGGAUUGUGGAGCUGGAGACCUGGGGCAGAGCUGGUGUUGGAGUUGGAGUUUGAGGGUCAGGGAGCUGGAGAUCUGGGGAGGAGCCAGUGCUGCUGUUUAAGUCUGAGGGUCGUGGAGCU
RNAcentral lists this long non-coding RNA (5869 nucleotides) under Homo sapiens (human). RNAcentral describes it as "non-protein coding lnc-SULF2-4:3". The record is from RNAcentral. Lineage: Eukaryota; Metazoa; Chordata; Mammalia; Primates; Hominidae.